Molecule: ribosomal RNA, 303 nt
Filed under: uncultured bacterium
Lineage: Bacteria
Description: partial 16S ribosomal RNA
Rfam family: Bacterial small subunit ribosomal RNA
Source: RNAcentral
AGCAGUAGCCGCGGGAAUACGGAGGGGGCUAGCGUUGUUCGGAAUUACUGGGCGUAAAGCGCACGUAGGCGGCUUUGUAAGUUAGAGGUGAAAGCCCGGAGCUCAACUCCGGAAUUGCCUUUAAGACUGCAGAGCUAGCAGGUGAGAGAGGUGAGUGGAAUUCCGAGUGUAGAGGUGAAAUUCGUAGAUAUUCGGAAGAACACCAGUGGCGAAGGCGGCUCACUGGCUCAUACUGGACGCUGAGGUGCGAAAGCGUGGGGAGCAAACAGGAUUAGAGACCCCGGUAGUCCCUGUCUCUUAUAC